UCAGGACGAACGCUGGCGGCGUGCUUAACACAUGCAAGUCGAACGAUGAUGCUGCAACUUGUUGUGGUGGAUUAGUGGCGAACGGGUGAGUAACACGUGAGUAACCUGCCUUUCACUCUGGGAUAAGCCUUGGAAACGAGGUCUAAUACUGGAUAUUACUUCUUGCCGCAUGGUGGGGGGUGGAAAGCCUUCGGGUGGUGAAUGAUGGACUCGCGGACUAUCAGCUUGUUGGUGGGGUUGUGGCCUACCAAGGCAAUGACGGUUAGCCGGCCUGAGAGGGUGACCGGCCACAUUGGGACUGAGAUACGGCCCAAACUCCUACGGGAGGCAGCAGUGGGGAAUAUUGCACAAUGGGCGAAAGCCUGAUGCAGCGACGCCGCGUGGGGGAUGAAGGCCUUCGGGUUGUAAACUCCUUUCGCUCGUGACGAAGUCUCUUCGGGGGUGACGGUAGCGGGAGAAGAAGCACCGGCUAACUACGUGCCAGCAGCCGCGGUAAUACGUAGGGUGCGAGCGUUGUCCGGAAUUAUUGGGCGUAAAGAGCUUGUAGGCGGUUUGUCGCGUCUGCUGUGAAAGCCCGGGGCUUAACUCCGGGUCUGCAGUGGGUACGGGCAGGCUAGAGUGUGGUAGGGGAGACUGGAAUUCCUGGUGUAGCGGUGAAAUGCGCAGAUAUCAGGAGGAACACCGAUGGCGAAGGCAGGUCUCUGGGCCAUUACUGACGCUGAGAAGCGAAAGCAUGGGGAGCAAACAGGAUUAGAUACCCUGGUAGUCCAUGCCGUAAACGUUGGGCGCUAGGUGUGGGACUCAUUCCACGAGUUCCGUGCCGUAGCUAACGCAUUAAGCGCCCCGCCUGGGGAGUACGGCCGCAAGGCUAAAACUCAAAGGAAUUGACGGGGGCCCGCACAAGCGGCGGAGCAUGCGGAUUAAUUCGAUGCAACGCGAAGAACCUUACCAAGGCUUGACAUACACCAGAUCGCAGCAGAGAUGUUGUUUCCUUUUGGUUGGUGUACAGGUGGUGCAUGGUUGUCGUCAGCUCGUGUCGUGAGAUGUUGGGUUAAGUCCCGCAACGAGCGCAACCCUCGUUCUAUGUUGCCAGCACGUAAUGGUGGGGACUCAUAGGAGACUGCCGGGGUCAACUCGGAGGAAGGUGGGGAUGAGGUCAAAUCAUCAUGCCCCUUAUGUCUUGGGCUUCACGCAUGCUACAAUGGAUGGUACAGAGGGUUGCGAUACCGCGAGGUGGAGCGAAUCCCUUAAAGCCGUUCUCAGUUCGGAUUGGGGUCUGCAACUCGACCCCAUGAAGUCGGAGUCGCUAGUAAUCGCAGAUCAGCAACGCUGCGGUGAAUACGUUCCCGGGCCUUGUACACACCGCCCGUCAAGUCACGAAAGUUGGUAACACCCGAAGCCCACGGCCUAACCACGUAAGUGGAGGGAGUGGUCGAAUGGUGGGAUCGGCGAUUGGGACUAAGUCGUAACAAGGUAGCCGUACCGGAAGGUGC
RNAcentral lists this ribosomal RNA (1493 nucleotides) under Dermacoccaceae bacterium. Its description in RNAcentral is "bacterial SSU rRNA". It matches the Rfam family "Bacterial small subunit ribosomal RNA". The record is from RNAcentral. Lineage: Bacteria; Bacillati; Actinomycetota; Actinomycetes; Micrococcales; Dermacoccaceae.